UAGAUUUUUCUGGAUUGUAGCUUGAACCAGGUGUUCCAGUGAACUUUCCGAGCAGUUCAUACAUCAACAGGUUGAAGAACUCUGUUUACAAUUUCUUGUCAAGCAGGUCUAGUGAUGAUUAACUCCUUCAGCUUUCGUUUGUCUGGGAAAAUAUCAUUCUUUUAUUUCUAAAGAACAACUUUGCAGGUAGAGUUUGCUUUAUUGGUGGUUUUUCUUUUUCUUCUUCUUUUAGCAUUUAAAUAUGUCAUUCCACACUCCCCUGACCUGUAAGUAUUCUGCCUAGAAAUCUGCUGAAAACCUUAGACAUUC
RNAcentral lists this long non-coding RNA (309 nucleotides) under Homo sapiens (human). RNAcentral's name for it is "HSALNT0232042". The record is from RNAcentral. Lineage: Eukaryota; Metazoa; Chordata; Mammalia; Primates; Hominidae.